UGGCGGACUGGUCAACUGA
This 19-nucleotide non-coding RNA is filed under the name Arabidopsis thaliana (thale cress). Lineage: Eukaryota; Viridiplantae; Streptophyta; Magnoliopsida; Brassicales; Brassicaceae. The record is from RNAcentral.